Molecule: long non-coding RNA, 417 nt
Filed under: Mytilus galloprovincialis (Mediterranean mussel)
Lineage: Eukaryota; Metazoa; Mollusca; Bivalvia; Mytilida; Mytilidae
Source: RNAcentral
AAAAAAAAACCAUGUAAUGUCAAAAGUUUGAUCACAAUCCAAAUUCAGAGCUGUAUCAAGCUUGAAUGUUUUGUCCAUACUUGCCCCAACUGUUCAGGGUUCGACCUCUGCGGUCGUAUAAAGCUGCGCCCUGCGGAGCACCUGGUUUUACUUUUUAUUUGGAGGUUUGUAGUAGGGGGUCAGUAUACCACAGGGGGUCAAAAUACCAUGGCUAAGUGUAAUUUUCAAUCUUUAAAAGCAUGUUAGAUACAUACAUACUACUUAUUGGAGUAUUUUUACUCUAUAAAAGAGUUAAAAUAGCUUGGUUUUUUUAAAUAAAAGGUCUAUAGUAGGGAGUUCAAUAUUCUGCACGAGUUCAAAAUACCAUUGCUUAGUAAAUUUUCAAAAAAUCUUUUCUAGCAUGUUAAAUACAUACUA